UACGGGACGGCAGACGGGAGAGUAUCCGNUGGGAAAGGACACUUCAGUACGGAACAACCCAGGGAAACUUGGGCUAAUACCGUUUACGUCCGUAAGGAGAAAGAUUUAUCGCUGAGGGAUCGGCCCGCGUCUGAUUAGCUAGUUGGUGGGGUAACGGCCCACCAAGGCGACGAUCAGUAGCUGGUCUGAGAGGAUGAUCAGCCUCACUGGGACUGAGACACGGCCCAGACUCCUACGGGAGGCAGCAGUGGG
RNAcentral lists this ribosomal RNA (252 nucleotides) under uncultured Hyphomicrobiales bacterium. RNAcentral describes it as "uncultured Rhizobiales bacterium partial 16S ribosomal RNA". It matches the Rfam family "Bacterial small subunit ribosomal RNA", at positions 89 to 358 of the family's 1533-position model. The record is from RNAcentral. Lineage: Bacteria; Pseudomonadati; Pseudomonadota; Alphaproteobacteria; Hyphomicrobiales.